AGAAUGCCCGCGUGGUCACAUCUUCGACAAGCCGUGAUGUUUGAGUGAGCUUAUUCAGCCUGGCAUGAACACCACGACCAGACACAUAGUCAAGUACCUCGCCGGUAAGGCCAAGGUGUACGAGAAUAAGUCACAAUGACGCUUCAGAGGCGUGCGUCCUGGUGUUCGAGCCACCUCAAGCAGGGGACCUGGAACAACGGUACAUUUGUGCUGAGAGGACAAGGCACCAAGAUUGUAGGUUUGGAAUACUUUCUGGAGUAUAGUGUAAAGAAAGAAUGAACUGAAUGGUACAGAACUGAACUGGAUGAAAUUAUUUUUUCGCCUGUGCCAAUGAUUCAACUAUGGAGUCUUGGUCUAUUAUUGGCCUCUUCUUGUACUGGAUGUUAAUGUACAAG
Long non-coding RNA from Lolium rigidum, 395 nucleotides. RefSeq lists it as uncharacterized. NCBI's taxonomy places the organism in Eukaryota, Viridiplantae, Streptophyta, Magnoliopsida, Poales, Poaceae. The transcript has 3 exons. The record is from RefSeq and is a predicted model, not a curated record.